GACGAACGCUGGCGGCGGGCUUAACACAUGCAAGUCGCACGAGUGGCGGACGGGUGAGUAAUGAAUGGGAAUCUGGCUUAUGGAGGGGGAUAACGACGGGAAACUGUCGCUAAUACCGCGUACCAUAGGAUGAGCCCAUGUGGGAUUAGGUAGUUGGAGGGGUAAUGGCCAACCAAGACGAAGAUCUCUAGCUGGUCUGAGAGGAUGACCAGCCACACCGGGACUUAGACAAGGCCCGGACUCCUCCGUGAGGCAGCAGUGGGGAAUAUUGCGCAAUGGGGGCAACCUGACGCAGCCAUGCCGAGUGAAUGAAGAAGGCCUUCGGGUUGUAAAGUUCUUUCGGUGACGAGGCGUUAAUCACAGAAGAAGCACCGGCUAACUCCGUGCCAGCAGCCGCGGUAAUUC
Molecule: ribosomal RNA, 405 nt
Filed under: uncultured bacterium
Lineage: Bacteria
Description: partial 16S ribosomal RNA
Rfam family: Bacterial small subunit ribosomal RNA
Source: RNAcentral